Long non-coding RNA from Coffea eugenioides, 1195 nucleotides. RefSeq lists it as uncharacterized. The record is from RefSeq and is a predicted model, not a curated record. NCBI's taxonomy places the organism in Eukaryota, Viridiplantae, Streptophyta, Magnoliopsida, Gentianales, Rubiaceae. The transcript has 3 exons.
CUUAUUGAGCGCAUUGAAAGGAAGCAUCCCCAGUAGUACCUACAAGCUUUAACGUUCCUGCUCUGCCCUAUAUAUACUGGCCUCUAAACUGUGAUCCGAACUAUUAAACUUGCUCAGAAGAUCUCUAGCUAGUCAUUUGCAGCUCGAAAAUUCAGCAUUGAGAAGGAAUAGAGAAAUCUUCAAAAUCCCUUGUGAUUGCUUCAGUGGCCAUAGAAGGAGAAGCAAUAGCAAAGGUGGAAGCCUCAAGAGUCCUACCAGCUGAAGCAUUGACAACAGCUCUGGACUGGUUUUGAAAGGCGUUGGGUGUGAGGCGCCCAUGAAUUGCCCAUGGGAGUCUGGGCGAUCAAAGGAGGCGGAAGCACAAUAAUUUAGGGUGGACUGUUCCCAAAAUUCUAUAGAAACAAGAACUCCCAAUUUUCUCCAGUGCUACUCAGAAUCCUCCUCUAUCCUGCAACAUCGAUGCUGAAGGAUGAUGAUUGAUAUGGCCAACAACCUCGAAUCCCCAGAGGCUGAAUAAUGGCUGGGUAUCAUAAAUGAAAGGCAUGCUAGUGGAGAACAACUUGAAGAAAUUAAGACGUGGCUAAUUUUGCAUCGACAUUCUACUAAAACACGGAAUGCAUAGGAAGGACUGGCUUCCAAUAAUUUACGAAGAACUGGUCCCAAAAUUCUGCAGAAGCACAUCAAUUUAUGAUGGACCAGGAAGCACAAUAAUUUAGAAUGGACCUGGGAACCGUCCAUCCGUCCUGGUCCAUUCUAAAUUAUUUUGCUUCCUGGUCCAUCAUAAAUUGAUGUGCUUCUGCAGAAUUUUGGGACCAGUGCUCGAGUGUCGGAUCAAUUCAGCUACUGCAUACAAUUAUUAUUCGGCUACUACAAUUCCACAGCUAUGUUUGAUAAUUGAUAUACGGAAGACAUAGAACUUGAUCAAAUGAAGUUGAGUGGUGGUGUAAGCACUGUAUCUCAAAUUCUUUUGCUCAUAAAAUUAGGAGGCUGGCAUUAACUAUAAUAGUCCAUUCUAUCUGGCAAGCGAGGAAAAUACAGAUUUUCCAGCAGAUUCAAAUUUCUUGUGUAUGAUAGCUGUGUUGAAGUGGUUGUCACCACUAUUCAGAUGAUUGUUGCCUUGGCAUGUUGUCACCAAUCUUAAAAAUUAGUAUAUAUCCAGCAAAGACCUUUGUCCAGAUCUAAGGACAGGAAUUUA